GGACAGAAUGGUGACCUGGCUACAACCUCUGUCACCUCAUUGAUCACCAGGGUUGGUUCGGAUGAUUAGGUGGGUGUCCCCUUCCUCCCUCGCCACUCAGUGUGUGUCCUUCCAGAUGCUAGGCAUUCGGUGGAAGAAGACCACCUUCCCCAAAUAGAAUAGGACCGCCUUCCCUGAAUAGAAGAGGACCACCUU
Molecule: small nuclear RNA, 195 nt
Filed under: Jaculus jaculus (lesser Egyptian jerboa)
Lineage: Eukaryota; Metazoa; Chordata; Mammalia; Rodentia; Dipodidae
Description: 7SK RNA (ENSJJAG00000008725.1)
Rfam family: 7SK RNA (bases 6-176)
About the family: 7SK was discovered as an abundant small nuclear RNA in the mid-70s but a possible function has only recently been suggested. Two independent studies have found that 7SK RNA binds the CDK9/cyclin T complex (known as elongation factor P-TEFb).
Source: RNAcentral